AUACGGAGGGUCCGAGCGUUAUCCGGAAUUAUUGGGUUUAAAGGGUCCGUAGGCGGGCGAUUAAGUCAGUGGUGAAAGUCUGCAGCUCAACUAUAGAAUUGCCUUUGAUACUGAUUGUCUUGAGUUAUAGUGAAGUUGCCGGAAUAUGUAGUGUAGCGGUGAAAUGCAUAGAUAUUACAUAGAACACCGAUUGCGAAGGCAGGUGACUAACUGUAUACUGACGCUGAUGGACGAAAGCGUGGGGAGCGAACAGGAUUAGAAACCCUAGUAGUCC
This 274-nucleotide ribosomal RNA is filed under the name uncultured bacterium. Its description in RNAcentral is "partial 16S ribosomal RNA". It matches the Rfam family "Bacterial small subunit ribosomal RNA", at positions 523 to 796 of the family's 1533-position model. The record is from RNAcentral.